This is a long non-coding RNA of Haliotis rubra (blacklip abalone), 228 nucleotides long. RefSeq lists it as uncharacterized. The transcript is spliced from 3 exons. The record is from RefSeq and is a predicted model, not a curated record. Lineage: Eukaryota; Metazoa; Mollusca; Gastropoda; Lepetellida; Haliotidae.
AUAAAUAAUAAUAAUAAUGGAUUUGUGUAGCGCCUAGUUUCCACUAUAUGGUGCUCAACAGAGCUGUAAGAAAGAGUGUUGAAGAUUAGAAAACACACUGAGUUAUAGCAGUGUACACAGUAGUAUUAGAGUAGCUUUGCGGAGGCAGUUUGGAAAAGAUGGGUUUUUAAUGCUGUUUUGAAGGCAGACUCUGAUGAUAAUAAUCUCAAGGAACUGUAGCAGAUGAUU